AACGAACGCUGGCGGCAGGCCUAACACAUGCAAGUCGAGCGCACUCUUCGGAGUGAGCGGCGGACGGGUUAGUAACGCGUGGGAAUAUGCCCUUCACUACGGAAUAGCCUCGGGAAACUGAGAGUAAUACCGUAUACGCCCUUCGGGGGAAAGAUUUAUCGGUGAAGGAUUAGCCCGCGUCUGAUUAGAUAGUUGGUGGGGUAACGGCCUACCAAGUCGACGAUCAGUAGCUGGUUUGAGAGGAUGAUCAGCAACACUGGGACUGAGACACGGCCCAGACUCCUACGGGAGGCAGCAGUGGGGAAUCUUAGACAAUGGGCGCAAGCCUGAUCUAGCCAUGCCGCGUGAGUGACGAAGGCCUUAGGGUCGUAAAGCUCUUUCGCCUGUGAAGAUAAUGACUGUAGCA
Molecule: ribosomal RNA, 406 nt
Filed under: Loktanella sp. S131
Lineage: Bacteria; Pseudomonadati; Pseudomonadota; Alphaproteobacteria; Rhodobacterales; Roseobacteraceae
Description: bacterial SSU rRNA
Rfam family: Bacterial small subunit ribosomal RNA
Source: RNAcentral